UGAUAGUCUCCGGAUAAUAGUCCAUGCUC
Molecule: non-coding RNA, 29 nt
Filed under: Mus musculus (house mouse)
Lineage: Eukaryota; Metazoa; Chordata; Mammalia; Rodentia; Muridae
Source: RNAcentral